AGUGAACGCUGGCGGUAGGCCUAACACAUGCAAGUCGAACGGCAGCACAGUAAGAGCUUGCUCUUACGGGUGGCGAGUGGCGGACGGGUGAGGAAUACAUCGGAAUCUACUUUUUCGUGGGGGAUAACGUAGGGAAACUUACGCUAAUACCGCAUCCGACCUACGGUUGAAAGCAGGGGAUCUUCGGACCUUGCGCGAUUGAAUGAGCCGAUGUCGGAUUAGCUAGUUGGCGGGGUAAAGGCCCACCAAGGCGACGAUCCGUAGCUGGUCUGAGAGGAUGAUCAGCCACACUGGAACUGAGACACGGUCCAGACUCCUACGGGAGGCAGCAGUGGGGAAUAUUGGACAAUGGGCGCAAGCAUGAUCCAGCCAUACCGCGUGGGUGAAGAAGGCCUUCGGGUUGUAAAGACCUUUUGUUGGGAAAGAAAAGCAGCAGGUUAAUACCCAGCUGUUCUGACGGUACCCAAAGAAUAAGCACCGGCUAACUUCGUG
RNAcentral lists this ribosomal RNA (492 nucleotides) under uncultured bacterium. RNAcentral describes it as "partial 16S ribosomal RNA". It matches the Rfam family "Bacterial small subunit ribosomal RNA", at positions 29 to 507 of the family's 1533-position model. The record is from RNAcentral.